Molecule: ribosomal RNA, 470 nt
Filed under: Shigella sonnei
Lineage: Bacteria; Pseudomonadati; Pseudomonadota; Gammaproteobacteria; Enterobacterales; Enterobacteriaceae
Description: bacterial SSU rRNA
Rfam family: Bacterial small subunit ribosomal RNA
Source: RNAcentral
UAACAGGAAGCAGCUUGCUGCUUCGCUGACGAGUGGCGGACGGGUGAGUAAUGUCUGGGAAACUGCCUGAUGGAGGGGGAUAACUACUGGAAACGGUAGCUAAUACCGCAUAACGUCGCAAGACCAAAGAGGGGGACCUUCGGGCCUCUUGCCAUCGGAUGUGCCCAGAUGGGAUUAGCUUGUUGGUGGGGUAACGGCUCACCUAGGCGACGAUCCCUAGCUGGUCUGAGAGGAUGACCAGCCACACUGGAACUGAGACACGGUCCAGACUCCUACGGGAGGCAGCAGUGGGGAAUAUUGCACAAUGGGCGCAAGCCUGAUGCAGCCAUGCCGCGUGUAUGAAGAAGGCCUUCGGGUUGUAAAGUACUUUCAGCGGGGAGGAAGGGAGUAAAGUUAAUACCUUUGCUCAUUGACGUUACCCGCAGAAGAAGCACCGGCUAACUCCGUGCCAGCUGCGGGGGUUAAUACAA